Molecule: long non-coding RNA, 322 nt
Filed under: Brassica napus (rape)
Lineage: Eukaryota; Viridiplantae; Streptophyta; Magnoliopsida; Brassicales; Brassicaceae
Description: long non-coding RNA (BNAP_LNC023130)
Source: RNAcentral
GCCCACAGUCCUUCGGGCCACCGCGCGACAGCCCACAGUCCUUCGGGUUACUGCCACAUUACACCGUCGUGUAAUCAAACAGCCAUAGGCCAUGAUCCCGUCUAUCAGAGUCUUCCUGAUCCAGCGAAUAAGGGGUUUCCUUGAACCCGCCGGGUACGAGGUCUAAAGGAACACUAACUCACCCCAAUAUGCCUAGCAUUGUGGGUUACACAAAUGCUGUUGGCCAAUAUAUGAUUAAUAAUAAACCCGGUAAAAAUAACACAAGGUUCCUAGUAUUAAUCGCCACACAAUCAACACAUUCCACCUCAAAAAUGCCUAGCAU